GUUGGGCAUGGGGCUUCAUGGUGAACCCAAGGCAUGCAGGAGGCCCUGGGUUUAAUGGCUAGAGAGCAUACUCUAGCAGAAGAGGAAGAGGGGGAGGAGGAAGAGAGGAAGUGGAAGGAGGAGAGGGAGGAGGAGGAAGGCGACAGAAAGAAAUGAAUUGGGGCAUUGGUUGAUGCUCACCUAUACUGACUAGCAGAUGAUGAGUAACUCAGAGGAACCCUUAAAGAUGCUUUGCCUACUGACAACAGGAAGCAGUCUGGAGAACAUGAUGCCCACAUUCCCAAGAGAUGGGCCCAGGCAGGACCCCCAUCAACCACAGAGGCAGAUAACAGAUUUAUUCCAGAAUGACCCCAACAGAACCUUCAGAUUCUCCUCCAUCCACCAUGACAACCCCUCAAAGAGCAUCGCACCUCUACCCAUGUGGUUUCUUUGCCUUCCUGCCUUUUGCCUGUAGGACCUAGAAGGGAAACCCACAGCCUCCGGCAGAGCCAGCUCUGAACAGGGAAGACAUGCAUGAACCUCACAUGGAGACCAAGAUCAGCGCGCACAAAAUAGAGGUCGUUCUGUGUGAGAUCUGAAUUGCUGGCUUACACAAUGCACAUAACUGGGUUCCACUUAAGCAGGGUGAGUAACCCCAAAAUCUUAACCUUUUGAUGAUUUGGCAGGGAAUGACCCUUGAGUUUGAUGAAGAGUCCAUGGCUUUGCAUGGGCAAGACCUUGUUUUGUUGACAGACUAGAAGUAGCCACCUUGCCUCUCCAGAUUUCACAGCAUCUCUUCUACAGACCUACCAGUCAGUGACCUCUGCACCAUCCACCUAAUUCAUCUCAGAUUUUUGAGGGCACCAUUUUGAAUGUAUGCUCCCCAGAAUCUCCUGGGAAUGCAGAAG
This is a non-coding RNA of Peromyscus maniculatus bairdii (prairie deer mouse), 887 nucleotides long. Lineage: Eukaryota; Metazoa; Chordata; Mammalia; Rodentia; Cricetidae. The record is from RefSeq and is a predicted model, not a curated record.